Molecule: ribosomal RNA, 207 nt
Filed under: uncultured bacterium
Lineage: Bacteria
Description: partial 16S ribosomal RNA
Rfam family: Bacterial small subunit ribosomal RNA
Source: RNAcentral
CGCGCAGGCGGAUUAGCAAGUCAGAGGUGAAAUCCUACAGCUUAACUGUAGAACUGCCUUUGAAACUGUUAGUCUUGAGUGCGGAAGAGAGAAGCGGAAUUCCAGGUGUAGUGGUGAAAUACGUAGGUAUCUGGAAGAACACCAGUUGCGAAGGCGGCUUCUUGGUCCGUUACUGACGCUGAGGCGCGAAAGCGUGGGGAGCAAACA